CCUACGGGUGGCAGCAGUAAGGAAUAUUGCUCAAUGGGGGAGACCCUGAAGCAGCCACGCCGCGUGGAGGAUGAAGGUUUUAGGAUUGUAAAAUCCCUUUGUUCGGGGAGAUUAUGACGGUAUGUGACGACUACGCACCGGCAACCUCCGUGCCAGCCGCCGCGGUAAUACGGAGGGUGCAAGCGUUACUCGGAACCACUGGGCGUAAAGCGGGCGUAGGCGGGGUAAUAAGUCAGAUGGGAAAUCCUGUAGCUUAACUACAGAACUGCAUUUGAAACUGUUAUUCUGGAGUGGGGGAGAGGUAGGUGGAAUUCUUGGUGUAGGGGUAAAAUGCGUAGAGAUCACGCGGAAUACUCAUUGCGAAGGCGACCUGCUGGAACAUUACUGACGCUGAUGCACGAAAGCGUGGGGAGCAAACAGGAUUAGAUACCCUAGUAGUC
This 440-nucleotide ribosomal RNA is filed under the name uncultured bacterium. RNAcentral's name for it is "partial 16S ribosomal RNA". It matches the Rfam family "Bacterial small subunit ribosomal RNA", at positions 338 to 795 of the family's 1533-position model. The record is from RNAcentral.